RNAcentral lists this ribosomal RNA (435 nucleotides) under uncultured bacterium. Its description in RNAcentral is "bacterial SSU rRNA". It matches the Rfam family "Bacterial small subunit ribosomal RNA", at positions 29 to 507 of the family's 1533-position model. The record is from RNAcentral.
AAUGAACGCUGGCGGCGUGCCUAACACAUGCAAGUCGGAUGUGCCCGCAAGGGUGCAUGGCAGACGGGUGAGUAACACGUGGGAAUCUACCUUGUAGUGGGGGAUAAGCCAGGGAAACUUGGACUAAUACCGCAUACGCCCUAAGGGGGAAAGGAGCAAUUCGCUAUAAGGAUGAGCCCGCGUCUGAUUAGCUAGUUGGUGAGGUAAAGGCUCACCAAGGCGACGAUCAGUAGCUGGUCUGAGAGGAUGACCAGCCACAUUGGGACUGAGACACGGCCCAGACUCCUACGGGAGGCAGCAGUCGGGAAUAUUGGACAAUGGGGGCAACCCUGAUCCAGCAAUACCGCGUGUGUGAAGAAGGCCUGCGGGUUGUAAAGCACUUUUAGUAGGGAAGAUAAUGACGUUACCUACAGAAAAGCACCGGCUAACUCCGUG